RNAcentral lists this transfer RNA (65 nucleotides) under Ascobulla japonica. RNAcentral's name for it is "tRNA-Val". The record is from RNAcentral. Lineage: Eukaryota; Metazoa; Mollusca; Gastropoda; Volvatellidae.
AGUGGUUAAAGUAUUUAAUUGUACAUCUUAGUUACAUUAAGAAGGUCUUAAUUUAAGUAACCACU